This 44-nucleotide non-coding RNA is filed under the name Schistosoma mansoni. Lineage: Eukaryota; Metazoa; Platyhelminthes; Trematoda; Strigeidida; Schistosomatidae. The record is from RNAcentral.
AUCCAGAUGACGAGUCCAAACAGGACGAAACACGCGUCCUGGAU